This 85-nucleotide transfer RNA is filed under the name Chlorobiota bacterium. RNAcentral describes it as "tRNA-Leu". It matches the Rfam family "tRNA". Rfam says of the family: Transfer RNA (tRNA) molecules are approximately 80 nucleotides in length. Their secondary structure includes four short double-helical elements and three loops (D, anti-codon, and T loops). Further hydrogen bonds mediate the characteristic L-shaped molecular structure. tRNAs have two regions of fundamental functional importance: the anti-codon, which is responsible for specific mRNA codon recognition, and the 3' end, to which the tRNAs corresponding amino acid is attached (by aminoacyl-tRNA synthetases). tRNAs cope with the degeneracy of the genetic code in two manners: having more than one tRNA (with a specific anti-codon) for a particular amino acid; and 'wobble' base-pairing, i.e. permitting non-standard base-pairing at the 3rd anti-codon position. The record is from RNAcentral. Lineage: Bacteria; Pseudomonadati; Chlorobiota.
GCCUGGGUGGCGGAAUUGGUAGACGCGCCGGACUCAAAAUCCGGUUCCCGAUGAGGGAGUGUGGGUUCGAUUCCCACCCCAGGUA